CCAACACAGUCUCACCCCUAUUCGUCACAUACUGCCGUUUGGUCAUUUCCCCCUCACGUCCAUAAGCAACGUUGAGGGUACCCCCUAUUCGUCACUUGACAACGUAGAGGAGGGUCGUCCGAUAUUUGAAUGCAAAUCCCUCAUCUUUGGAUUUUGACGAACCUGGCUUAUCCAUCUAGCGGUUUUUCUGCGCUGGAAAGUAUGGUUUCAGGCGAUUAAUUUUAAUGCUGCUAAUAUUAUGUUCAUGUAUUUUGCAGUAGCAUGCUGCGCAAAUACUGUUACAAUCAUUAAUUGGUGAAGUGACCAUAUAUUUUAUUGGAGCAGAAACCCUGUUCUAAAUCGGAAUCACGCCUUUUUUCUUUUUUAAUAUAAUUUUGGGCUACAUUAAAAUGGCAUAAUUGCAGGACUGCAUAUUUGCUGUAGGCUUAAACAUGCCUUAAUUUAAGUGGGAUAUUUUUAAUUGUCGAUGGUAUAUUUGCAAUGGCUUAUAGUGUAUAGUGAGCCUGCUUUGUUGUUUUUUUUUUUUUUUUUUUUUGCGACCAAAAAUAAAUAAAUAAAAAUAACACCUCAACAACAAAAAAAUACCAAUAGCAUACUUUUAUAGACCUUUCAUCUCAAUACUAAUUAUGAAGUUGUGAUAAAUAGCCUGCUGCGGAAAUGUUUAUAUUACUUAAUAUGGACAUAUCCUUUGGCAAAGAGAUGGAUGCAUUCUGGGGCGUGAUGUGUUAAAAUGUAAUUGCUAACAUAUACCCAUGUUUCCUUAGACAUUUCUGCUGACCCCUUUAAAAUUUUGAGCGAGGAUAUAAAAUAUUAAGACUGUACUUUUUCAUUAUAAUUUAUAUUUUGGCGCAAUUUUGUGCAGCGCGUCACUGUGCGCGACCAUCACAGAAACCAUUGCCCAGCGCGAUUCCACAACGAUUCCUUAAUCCCUGUCCUUUAAAAAAAAACAGCACCUCAUUACAUUAGGCACUUCUAAGAGCCACAUUUGUCUUGUUUAUUGUCUUAUUUGUAUUUUUUUAUUGUCUUGUUAUUUCUCUCUCUCUCUCUCUCUCUCACACACUCUAUCUCUCACUCUCUCUCUAACCCUGACUCUCUCCCCUACCAUCUGAGUGGUGGUUGUUUUUUAGAGGGACGGAGGAACUGGGUUGCUGUCUCUUCUUCAGUCACUUUAAUCAACUGAAAGUGUAAAGAAUGACAAAGCCAAAAUUCAGGCCUUGCCCAAGCUGCCAGGUCCGUCAGCAGGCUAACCGCAAAACCUGCAGUGCUUGUUUUGCCACACUGCCAAGCAAGCGGUUAUUGAAAACUGCAAAAAUUAAUGAUGACUGGGGCCAGAGGGUCAUCAAAAACAAAAAUGCAUCUCGGGUGGUGGCCUCUGCCCAAAUAGCUGUCCAAAAACUUUCUGCCUUGGGCUAUAUGCCCAUAUUAUUUAUCAGCCAGAGGCACAAGGGCACAGGAAAAUUGAUGGCAGAUGUAGUAACGCAUCUGCCACCGACGCAAAACAACACACGUUUCUUAACCAGCAUGAAGAGGGCAUAUGACUUCAUGAUCAAACUGGAUGAUGUGUCCCAGCCCCAGCAAGACCAGCCCC
Carassius gibelio (silver crucian carp) is the source of this 1588-nucleotide long non-coding RNA. RefSeq lists it as uncharacterized. NCBI's taxonomy places the organism in Eukaryota, Metazoa, Chordata, Actinopteri, Cypriniformes, Cyprinidae. The record is from RefSeq and is a predicted model, not a curated record. The transcript is spliced from 5 exons.